RNAcentral lists this ribosomal RNA (458 nucleotides) under uncultured bacterium. RNAcentral describes it as "partial 16S ribosomal RNA". It matches the Rfam family "Bacterial small subunit ribosomal RNA", at positions 338 to 795 of the family's 1533-position model. The record is from RNAcentral.
CCUACGGGAGGCAGCAGUGAGGAAUAUUGGUCAAUGGGCGAGAGCCUGAACCAGCCAAGUCGCGUGAGGGAGUACUGCCCUAUGGGUUGUAAACCUCUUUUGUCGGGGAGCAAAAGCCGGACGUGUCCGGCUGUGAGAGUACCCGAAGAAAAAGCAUCGGCUAACUCCGUGCCAGCAGCCGCGGUGAUACGGAGGAUGCGAGCGUUAUCCGGAUUUAUUGGGUUUAAAGGGUGCGCAGGCGGAUUUUUAAGUCAGCGGUAAAAUCGUGGGGCGCAACCCCAUCCAGCCGUUGAAACUGGGGAUCUAGAGUGUGCGAGAGGUAUGCGGAAUGCGUGGUGUAGCGGUGAAAUGCAUAGAUAGCACGCAGAACCCCGAUUGCGAAGGCAGCAUACCGGUGCACAACUGACGCUCAGGCACGAAAGCGUGGGUAUCGAACAGGAUUAGAUACCCCUGUAGUC